RNAcentral lists this ribosomal RNA (253 nucleotides) under uncultured bacterium. Its description in RNAcentral is "partial 16S ribosomal RNA". It matches the Rfam family "Bacterial small subunit ribosomal RNA", at positions 524 to 776 of the family's 1533-position model. The record is from RNAcentral.
UACGGAGGGGGGUAGCGUUGUUCGGAAUUACGGGGCGUAAAGCGCACGUAGGCGGCUUUGUAAGUUAGAGGUGAAAGCCCGGGGCUCAACCCCGGAAUUGCCUUUAAGACUGCAUCGCUAGAAUUGUGGAGAGGUAAGUGGAAUUCCGAGUGUAGAGGUGAAAUUCGUAGAUAUUCGGAAGAACACCAGUGGCGAAGGCGACUUACUGGACACAUAUUGACGCUGAGGUGCGAAAGCGUGGGGAGCAAACAGG